This 212-nucleotide non-coding RNA is filed under the name Antarctobacter albus. RNAcentral also lists the same sequence under 1 other name. The record is from RNAcentral. Lineage: Bacteria; Pseudomonadati; Pseudomonadota; Alphaproteobacteria; Rhodobacterales; Roseobacteraceae.
GUCACGGGUUGUGGCGAUGGUGCUGCGUUCGGGUCAACCCCGGAGCGGCUGAAAAGGGAACACGGUGCGAGAGACCUUUCUCAAUUCCGUGACUGCCCCCGCAACUGUAAGCGGUGAGCAACCCGUCAAUCCACUGGAUCGACUGCGAUCCGGGAAGGGACGGCGCGCUUUGAUCCGCGAGUCAGGAGACCUGCCAUCAAUUGAUCGCAACC